AAUGGCAUAACUAUCAACCGAUAGUUAUAGGAAAGAAGUUUAUUAAGAAAAAGAACAAAUUUUACAAUUGUAGAAAUCGUAAGAUUUUAACAAGUAAUCAAUGAAAAUAUCUGAUCUAUCAACUAGUUGGUAGUAUAGAGGACUACCAAGGUUAUAACGGAUAACGAGAAAUUAGGGUUUGACAUCGGAGAAGGAGCUUUAAAAAUGGCUACUACUUCUAAGGAAGGCAGCAGGCGCGUAAAUUACCCACUUUUAACAUAAAGAGGUAGUGACGACAAAUAACUCUUUUAAAGCCGAGGGG
Molecule: ribosomal RNA, 301 nt
Filed under: Entamoeba suis
Lineage: Eukaryota; Evosea; Mastigamoebida; Endamoebidae
Description: SSU rRNA
Rfam family: Eukaryotic small subunit ribosomal RNA
Source: RNAcentral